AUGAACGCUGGCGGCGUCCCUAAUACAUGCAAGUCGAGCGAACGGACGAGAAGCUUGCUUCUCUGAUGUUAGCGGCGGACGGGUGAGUAACACGUGGAUAACCUACCUAUAAGACUGGGAUAACUUCGGGAAACCGGAGCUAAUACCGGAUAAUAUUUUGAACCGCAUGGUUCAAAAGUGAAAGACGGUCUUGCUGUCACUUAUAGAUGGAUCCGCGCUGCAUUAGCUAGUUGGUAAGGUAACGGCUUACCAAGGCAACGAUGCAUAGCCGACCUGAGAGGGUGAUCGGCCACACUGGAACUGAGACACGGUCCAGACUCCUACGGGAGGCAGCAGUAGGGAAUCUUCCGCAAUGGGCGAAAGCCUGACGGAGCAACGCCGCGUGAGUGAUGAAGGUCUUCGGAUCGUAAAACUCUGUUAUUAGGGAAGAACAUAUGUGUAAGUAACUGUGCACAUCUUGACGGUACCUAAUCAGAAAGCCACGGCUAACUACGUG
RNAcentral lists this ribosomal RNA (496 nucleotides) under uncultured bacterium. Its description in RNAcentral is "partial 16S ribosomal RNA". It matches the Rfam family "Bacterial small subunit ribosomal RNA", at positions 29 to 507 of the family's 1533-position model. The record is from RNAcentral.